AUGCUUGCUUCGACAGCACAUAUACUAAAAUUGGAAUGAUGCAGAGAAGAUUAGCAUGGCCCCUGUUCAAGGAUGACCCACAAAUUCGUGAAGCAUUCCACAUUUUU
Balaenoptera ricei (Rice's whale) is the source of this 107-nucleotide small nuclear RNA. NCBI's taxonomy places the organism in Eukaryota, Metazoa, Chordata, Mammalia, Artiodactyla, Balaenopteridae. The record is from RefSeq and is a predicted model, not a curated record.